UAAAAUGAAAUUUUUGUAUAAUAAAUUUAUUAUGGGUUUAGUUUAGCUCCUAUUUAUAUGGUGAGCUUUACUUUUCUCAUAAUAAAUUUAUUAUAUGAUUAUAACACUUUGUGCACUAUAAAUGUUUUUUGGGAUAUUAUACUUUAUUGUAUAUAUCCCAGCAUUCUUAAACCAAAAUUUUUAACAUUUGACUAAGUUUUCUAUUAUGAAAUAUAUAAAA
RNAcentral lists this unclassified non-coding RNA (220 nucleotides) under uncultured Rhizophydium. RNAcentral's name for it is "sequence contains ITS1". The record is from RNAcentral. Lineage: Eukaryota; Fungi; Chytridiomycota; Chytridiomycetes; Rhizophydiales; Rhizophydiaceae.